CUCUUGCAAGAGCUCAGAGGCAAAGCUCAGCAUGUUUGUGAUACCCAUUUCUCCCUCUUCCAUUUCACACAUCCUAAAGCCAUUUCCCUUGAGGCUGUCAAAGGCAGGUGGGCUUAAGGAGGUGCUACUCUUCAGGCUUUUAGAAGUAGAAGCCCUUGUGAGUAAGGUCAGCAGCUUCAAAGGGAGAUGUUAUCUCUUUUCAGACAGAAAGCCCUCUGCCCCCCCCCCCAGACGCUUCCCAAAGGGAUGGAUGGAUGCCCUCUUCCCACCCAAAGGUCCUGCAGAUGCACAAAGGCUGUCUGGGUCCUCAUGGAUUUUGCCACCUUGGUCACAAUUUUUGCUCUCUGGCGAGUCACCUAUUUUCGCAAAGCUUGUAGGCGCUUUGUGUCAGCAAGACUUCAACUCCUCUGCCAAAGCUAGGGGAGAUUGGCCAAAGGGUUCUAAGGUUUCUUGGAGUGGAGAUGCUGGAUUGGCUGUGAUACCCUUCUCACUUAUUUGUUCUUCAAACCACGCUGCACAAGCCUUGCAUCUUAAGAGACGAAGCUAAAAGCCACGAGUCUACAUAUUUCAGCCUUUAUUUUUGGAGGCACCUAGGGUUGCAUUUUCCAUCUGUUUCUCCACAGCUGAGCUGGCUAACAUUUUGUUUCUCAGUUUGCACUGGAGCUGGGUUCUUAGCAUUUUGCUAUGGAGAUUGGAAUCAUAUCAGUAGUAUCUCUUCCUGAGUGCAUCAGCUCUGACCACACCAGGUGGGAUGAGACCCACAGCAUCUGCUGUGGGUUUAUUAUAGCUCUGCCUGCUUACACAGAAUGGAUGUAGACCGGCAUGUAUUCAACUUCACCAAGGGCCUAUUCUGGAUAACCAAGUGUAGCUGCCUAUUUUUCUGUCACAAAAACAUGCAUCUGAAUUCAUGUUUUCACCUGGAGGGCUCAAGAAAGGGGGAGAGCAGGUCGAUCUGACCAGAUGAGUUGUCAAGAUGUCCAUCCAUCUCCCCUAAGCCACAGUUUUGUAGGCUCAGACACAGAACUGGGGCUGCAGGAAUGAAUGCUUGCACAACACAGAUUCAAGCCCGGGGGAGGUUUCCUGUCUAAGCAGAAAAAAACAGCUUAAAAAAUAUUUUCUAUGUAUUUGUAACAUUCUGCAAGGAGAGUUUUGUCUCUUUUGCUUCACCAAUGAAUGCAGACAACUAUCUUCUUACAUUUUUGGAAUUAAAAAAAUAAAGAGUGAAACAGUGUUUUUCCAUUAGUACUUCCUAAUAGGUUUUUUAAGGUUUUUUUUUUUUUUUUUGCCAUUUUCCUUAUUUU
Gallus gallus (chicken) is the source of this 1301-nucleotide long non-coding RNA. The record is from Ensembl. Lineage: Eukaryota; Metazoa; Chordata; Aves; Galliformes; Phasianidae.